This 253-nucleotide ribosomal RNA is filed under the name uncultured bacterium. Its description in RNAcentral is "partial 16S ribosomal RNA". It matches the Rfam family "Bacterial small subunit ribosomal RNA", at positions 524 to 776 of the family's 1533-position model. The record is from RNAcentral.
UACAGAGGGUGCGAGCGUUAAUCGGAAUUACUGGGCGUAAAGCGUGCGUAGACGGUUGCAUAAGUCGGAUGUGAAAUCCCCGGGCUCAACCUGGGAAUUGCAUUCGAGACUGUGUAGCUGGGGUGCGGAAGAGGGAAGCGGAAUUUCCGGUGUAGCGGUGAAAUGCGUAGAUAUCGGAAGGAACAUCAGUGGCGAAAGCGGCUUCCUGGUCCAGCACCGACGUUCAGGCACGAAAGCGUGGGGAGCAAACGGG